UACAGAGGGGGCAAGCGUUGUUCGGAAUUACUGGGCGUAAAGGGCGCGUAGGCGGCCUGUUAAGUCGGACGUGAAAUCCCUCGGCUCAACCGGGGAACUGCGUCCGAUACUGGCGGGCUUGAAUUCGGGAGAGGGAUGUGGAAUUCCAGGUGUAGCGGUGAAAUGCGUAGAUAUCUGGAGGAACACCGGUGGCGAAGGCGGCAUCCUGGACCAUUACUGACACUGAGAAGCGAAAGCCAGGGGAGCAAACGGG
This 253-nucleotide ribosomal RNA is filed under the name uncultured bacterium. RNAcentral describes it as "partial 16S ribosomal RNA". It matches the Rfam family "Bacterial small subunit ribosomal RNA", at positions 524 to 776 of the family's 1533-position model. The record is from RNAcentral.